AUGGGGCGUGGCCAAGUGGCAAGGCGACGGGUUUUGGUCCCGCUAUUCGGAGGUUCGAAUCCUUCCGUCCCAG
RNAcentral lists this transfer RNA (73 nucleotides) under Gynostemma burmanicum (nom. inval.). RNAcentral describes it as "Gynostemma 'burmanicum' tRNA-Gln". It matches the Rfam family "tRNA". From Rfam's summary of the family: Transfer RNA (tRNA) molecules are approximately 80 nucleotides in length. The record is from RNAcentral. Lineage: Eukaryota; Viridiplantae; Streptophyta; Magnoliopsida; Cucurbitales; Cucurbitaceae.